RNAcentral lists this transfer RNA (77 nucleotides) under Coccomyxa sp. SUA001. RNAcentral describes it as "tRNA-Ile". It matches the Rfam family "tRNA". From Rfam's summary of the family: Transfer RNA (tRNA) molecules are approximately 80 nucleotides in length. Their secondary structure includes four short double-helical elements and three loops (D, anti-codon, and T loops). Further hydrogen bonds mediate the characteristic L-shaped molecular structure. tRNAs have two regions of fundamental functional importance: the anti-codon, which is responsible for specific mRNA codon recognition, and the 3' end, to which the tRNAs corresponding amino acid is attached (by aminoacyl-tRNA synthetases). tRNAs cope with the degeneracy of the genetic code in two manners: having more than one tRNA (with a specific anti-codon) for a particular amino acid; and 'wobble' base-pairing, i.e. permitting non-standard base-pairing at the 3rd anti-codon position. Lineage: Eukaryota; Viridiplantae; Chlorophyta; Trebouxiophyceae; Coccomyxaceae. The record is from RNAcentral.
GGGCUAUUAGCUCAGUUGGUUAGAGCGCACCCCUGAUAAGGGUGAGGCCGCUGGUUUCAAAAUCCAGGCAUAGCCCA